Molecule: ribosomal RNA, 253 nt
Filed under: uncultured bacterium
Lineage: Bacteria
Description: partial 16S ribosomal RNA
Rfam family: Bacterial small subunit ribosomal RNA
Source: RNAcentral
UACAGAGGGGGCAAGCGUUGUUCGGAAUUACUGGGCGUAAAGGGCGCGUAGGCGGCCUGCUAAGUCGAACGUGAAAUCCCUGGGCUCAACCCAGGAACUGCGUCCGAUACUGGUUGGCUUGAAUCCGGGAGAGGGAUGUGGAAUUCCAGGUGUAGCAGUGAAAUGCGUAGAUAUCUGGAGGAACACCGGUGGCGAAGGCGACAUCCUGGACCGGUAUUGACGCUGAGGCGCGAAAGCCAGGGGAGCAAACGGG